Molecule: ribosomal RNA, 397 nt
Filed under: uncultured bacterium
Lineage: Bacteria
Description: partial 16S ribosomal RNA
Rfam family: Bacterial small subunit ribosomal RNA
Source: RNAcentral
AUACGUAGGGGGCGAGCGUUGUCCGGAAUGAUUGGGCGUAAAGGGCGCGUAGGCGGCAAGGCAAGUCUGGAGUGAAAGUCCUGUUUUUAAGAUGGGAAUUGCUUUGGAUACUGUCGGGCUUGAGUGCAGGAGAGGCAAGUGGAAUUCCCAGUGUAGCGGUGAAAUGCGUAUAGAUUGGGAGGAACACCAGUGGCGAAGGCGACUUACUGGACUGUAACUGACGCUGAGUCGCGAAAUUGUGGGGAGCAAACAGGAUUAGAUACCCUGGUAGUCCACACUGUAAACGAUGAAUGCUAGGUGUAGGGGGUAUCGACCCCUUCUGUGCCUCAGUCAACACAAUAAGCAUUCCGCCUGGGGAGUUCGGCCGCACGGUUGAAACUCAAAGGAAUUGAUGGGG